This 901-nucleotide ribosomal RNA is filed under the name Mammaliicoccus sciuri. Its description in RNAcentral is "Staphylococcus sciuri partial 23S ribosomal RNA". It matches the Rfam family "Bacterial large subunit ribosomal RNA", at positions 307 to 1208 of the family's 2925-position model. Lineage: Bacteria; Bacillati; Bacillota; Bacilli; Caryophanales; Staphylococcaceae. The record is from RNAcentral.
AUACGGAGUUACAAAGGAAAUGAUUAGACGAAUGGUUUUGGAAAAGCCAACCAUAGAAGGUAAAGGUCCUGUAGUCGAAAGUCAUUUCUCUCCUGAGUGGAUCCUGAGUACGGCGGAACACGUGAAAUUCCGUCGGAAUCUGGGAGGACCAUCUCCCAAGGCUAAAUACUCUCUAGUGACCGAUAGUGAACCAGUACCGUGAGGGAAAGGUGAAAAGCACCCCGGAAGGGGAGUGAAAUAGAACCUGAAACCGUGUGCUUACAAAUAGUCAGAGCCCGUUAAUGGGUGAUGGCGUGCCUUUUGUAGAAUGAACCGGCGAGUUACGAUUUGAUGCAAGGUUAAGCAGUAAAUGUGGAGCCGUAGCGAAAGCGAGUCUGAAUAGGGCGAAUGAGUAUCUGGUCGUAGACCCGAAACCAAGUGAUCUACCCAUGUCCAGGUUGAAGUUCAGGUAACACUGAAUGGAGGACCGAACCGACUUACGUUGAAAAGUGAGCGGAUGAGGUGUGGGUAGCGGAGAAAUUCCAAUCGAACUUGGAGAUAGCUGGUUCUCUCCGAAAUAGCUUUAGGGCUAGCCUCAAGUGAUGAUUAUUGGAGGUAGAGCACUGUUUGGACGAGGGGCCCCUCUCGGGUUACCGAAUUCAGACAAACUCCGAAUGCCAAAUAAUUUAACUUGGGAGUCAGACUAUGGGUGAUAAGGUCCGUAGUCGAAAGGGAAACAGCCCAGACCACCAGCUAAGGUCCCAAAAUAUAUGUUAAGUGGAAAAGGAUGUGGCGUUGCCCAGACAACUAGGAUGUUGGCUUAGAAGCAGCCAUCAUUUAAAGAGUGCGUAAUAGCUCACUAGUCGAGUGACACUGCGCCGAAAAUGUACCGGGGCUAAACAUAUUACCGAAGCUGUGGAUU